This 253-nucleotide ribosomal RNA is filed under the name uncultured bacterium. Its description in RNAcentral is "partial 16S ribosomal RNA". It matches the Rfam family "Bacterial small subunit ribosomal RNA", at positions 524 to 776 of the family's 1533-position model. The record is from RNAcentral.
GACAGAUGGCGCAGGCGUUAUUCGGUAUAACUGGGUGUAAAAGGUAUGUAGGCGGGUACGGAACCUCCUGUAAAAGAGCAGGGUAUUCCCAUGCGAUGCGGGAGAAUCUGAGUACCUAGUGUUAUUUAGAAGUUUGGGGAAUUCUGUGAUUAUCUAGGGGUGGAAUCCUACGAGCCACAGACGAUCGCCGAGGCGCAGGCACCUCUCUAAAAAUAACAGACGCUGAGGUACGGAAGCUUAGGUAGCAAACAGG